AUUGAACGCUGGCGGCAUGCUUUACACAUGCAAGUCGAACGGCAGCGCGGGCUUCGGCCUGGCGGCGAGUGGCGAACGGGUGAGUAAUACCUCGGAACGUGCCCAGUAGUGGGGGAUAGCUCGCCGAAAGCGGGAUUAAUACCGCAUACGACCUGAGGGUGAAAGCGGGGGAUCUUCGGACCUCGCGCUAUCGGAUCGGCCGAUGGCGGAUUAGCUAGUUGGUGGGGUAAAGGCCUACCAAGGCGACGAUCUGUAGCUGGUCUGAGAGGACGACCAGCCACACUGGGACUGAGACACGGCCCAGACUCCUACGGGAGGCAGCAGUGGGGAAUUUUGGACAAUGGGCGAAAGCCUGAUCCAGCAAUGCCGCGUGUGUGAUGAAGGCCUUCGGGUUGUAAAGCACUUUUGGCUGGGACGAAAAGGACUGUGCCAAUACCACGGUUCGAUGACGGUACCCGCAGAAUAAGCACCGGCUAACUACGUG
Molecule: ribosomal RNA, 484 nt
Filed under: uncultured bacterium
Lineage: Bacteria
Description: partial 16S ribosomal RNA
Rfam family: Bacterial small subunit ribosomal RNA
Source: RNAcentral